RNAcentral lists this unclassified non-coding RNA (187 nucleotides) under uncultured Agaricomycetes. RNAcentral describes it as "sequence contains ITS2". The record is from RNAcentral. Lineage: Eukaryota; Fungi; Basidiomycota; Agaricomycetes.
GUCAACCAUCGCCCGCAAUGAUUGUCACGAUCGUCGCGGCGCGGAUUUGGACGCUGCCGUCGUUGGCUCGUCUCGAAAUGCAUUAGCUGUCGAAGGACCGCGCUCCGGUGUGAUAAUUGUUGGUUAUAUGCGCCGUGCACGUGUCUGGUGAAGGCUCACAGUCGUCCGCGAGGACACAUAACUAAAG